GAUGAACGCUGGCGGCGUGCCUAAUACAUGCAAGUCGAGCGAACAGAUGAGGAGCUUGCUCCUCUGACGUUAGCGGCGGACGGGUGAGUAACACGUGGAUAACCUACCUAUAAGACUGGGAUAACUUCGGGAAACCGGAGCUAAUACCGGAUAAUAUAUUGAACCGCAUGGUUCAAUAGUGAAAGACGGUUUUGCUGUCACUUAUAGAUGGAUCCGCGCCGCAUUAGCUAGUUGGUAAGGUAACGGCUUACCAAGGCAACGAUGCGUAGCCGACCUGAGAGGGUGAUCGGCCACACUGGAACUGAGACACGGUCCAGACUCCUACGGGAGGCAGCAGUAGGGAAUCUUCCGCAAAGGGCGAAAGCCUGACGGAGCAACGCCGCGUGAGUGAUGAAGGUCUUCGGAUCGUAAAACUCUGUUAUUAGGGAGGAACAAAUGUGUAAGUAACUAUGCACGUCUUGACGGUACCUAAUCAGAAAGCCACGGCUAACUACGUG
Molecule: ribosomal RNA, 497 nt
Filed under: uncultured bacterium
Lineage: Bacteria
Description: partial 16S ribosomal RNA
Rfam family: Bacterial small subunit ribosomal RNA
Source: RNAcentral